Molecule: unclassified non-coding RNA, 305 nt
Filed under: plant metagenome
Description: partial contains 5.8S ribosomal RNA, internal transcribed spacer 2, and large subunit ribosomal RNA
Rfam family: 5.8S ribosomal RNA (bases 1-105)
Source: RNAcentral
GAAAUGCGAUAAGUAAUGUGAAUUGCAGAAUUCAGUGAAUCAUCGAAUCUUUGAACGCACAUUGCGCCCGCCAGUAUUCUGGCGGGCAUGCCUGUUCGAGCGUCAUUUCAACCAUCAAGCCCCCGGCUUGUGUUGGGGACCUGCGGCUGCCCGCAGGCCCUGAAAAACAGUGGCGGGCUCGCUGUCACACCGAGCGUAGUAGCAUACAUUCUCGCUCAGGGCGUGCUGCGGGUUCCGGCCGUUAAACGACCUUCAUAACCCAAGGUUGACAUCGGAUCAGGUAGGAAGACCCGCUGAACUUAAGC